UCUCAAAGAUUAAGCCAUGCAUGUCUAAGUACAAGCCUUAUUAAGGUGAAACCGCGAAUGGCUCAUUAAAUCAGCUAUGAUUUAUUAGAUGUUGAACCGUAUCUACAUGGAUAACUGUGGUAAUUCUAGAGCUAAUACAUGCCCAAAAGCUUUGACCUGGAAACGGGAAGAAGCGCAUUUAUUAGACCAAGACCAAUGGAUUUAGCCACUUUAGUGGGGCGAUCCUUUGCUGAUGGUGACUCUGGAUAACUGUAGCUGAUCGCAUGGCCUCCGAGCCGGCGACAUAUCUUUCAAGUGUCUGCCUUAUCAACUGUCGAUGGUAGGUUAAAUGCCUACCAUGGUUGUAACGGGUAACGGGGAAUCAGGGUUCGAUUCCGGAGAGGGAGCCUGAGAAACGGCUACCACAUCCAAGGAAGGCAGCAGGCACGCAAAUUACCCAAUCCCAGUUCGGGGAUGUAGUGACGAAAAAUAACAAAAUAGGACUCUAAUGAGGCCCUAUUAUUGGAAUGAGAACAAUCUAAAUCCUUUAUCGAGGAUCUAUUGGAGGGCAAGUCUGGUGCCAGCAGCCGCGGUAAUUCCAGCUCCAAUAGCGUAUAUUAAAGUUGUUGCGGUUAAAAAGCUCGUAGUUGGAUCUCAGUUCGUGCCUGUCGGUCCGUCUCUGAAAGGCGGCCACUGACAGUUGCCGGACAGCUUAUCGAUUAGUGUUUCCCGAGAGGGGACACUCGUAAGGUCCCAUGGUGCUCUUCACCGGGUGUCAUGGGCGAUCGAUACGUUUACUUUGAAAAAAUUAGAGUGCUCAAAGCAGGCGUUGCUUUCAUUGGUGUACGCCCGAAUAAUGUUGCAUGGAAUAAUGGAAUAGGACCUCGGUUCUAUUUUGUUGGUCUUAAGGACCUGAGGUAAUGAUUAAGAGGGACAGACGGGGGCAUUCGUAUUGCAGCGCUAGAGGUGAAAUUCUUGGACCGUUGCAAGACGAACUAAGGCGAAAGCAUUUGCCAAGAAUGUUUUCAUUAAUCAAGAACGAAAGUUAGAGGUUCGAAGGCGAUCAGAUACCGCCCUAGUUCUAACCAUAAACGAUGCCAACCAGCGAUUAGCCUGAGUUCCUUAAAUGACUCGGCUAGCAGCUUCCGGGAAACCAAAGUGUUUCGGUUCCGGGGGAAGUAUGGUUGCAAAGCUGAAACUUAAAGGAAUUGACGGAAGGGCACCACCAGGAGUGGAGCCUGCGGCUUAAUUUGACUCAACACGGGAAAACUUACCCGGCCCGGACACUGGAAGGAUUGACAGAUUGAGAGCUCUUUCUUGAUUCAGUGGGUGGUGGUGCAUGGCCGUUCUUAGUUGGUGGAGCGAUUUGUCUGGUUAAUUCCGAUAACGAACGAGACUCUAGCCUACUAAAUAGACUGUUCAGUUUUAUAGCUGGAAUCACCGGGUAUGUAGCUCUCGGGUUGCAUGCUCGGCUCUGGUGACACUGGCAGUGCUUCUUAGAGGGACAGGCGGCGGUUCAGCCGCACGAAACAGAGCAAUAACAGGUCUGUGAUGCCCUUAGAUGUCCGGGGCUGCACGCGCGCUACACUGAAGUGAUCAGCGUGCAAUUUACGUUUGGUGAUCUGUCAAGAUUGCCCAACCCGUUGAACCUUCUUCGUGAUUGGGAUAGGGGAUUGUAAUUAUUCCCCUUGAACGAGGAAUUCCCAGUAAGCGCAAGUCAUAAGCUUGCGUUGAUUACGUCCCUGCCCUUUGUACACACCGCCCGUCGCUACUACUGAUUGAAUGAAUUAGUGAGGUCUUCGGACUGGCCUGUGCUGGCUGUUUCGGCAGCUGCACAUGGCUCGGGAAGAUGCCCAAACUUGUUCAUUUAGAAGAAGUAAAAGUCGUAA
Molecule: ribosomal RNA, 1868 nt
Filed under: Brachychthoniidae sp. 3 PBK-2017
Lineage: Eukaryota; Metazoa; Arthropoda; Arachnida; Sarcoptiformes; Brachychthoniidae
Description: SSU rRNA
Rfam family: Eukaryotic small subunit ribosomal RNA
Source: RNAcentral